RNAcentral lists this non-coding RNA (179 nucleotides) under Peptostreptococcaceae bacterium. Its description in RNAcentral is "6S RNA". It matches the Rfam family "6S / SsrS RNA". Rfam says of the family: E. coli 6S RNA was the first non coding RNA to be sequenced, but its function was unknown until recently. The record is from RNAcentral. Lineage: Bacteria; Bacillati; Bacillota; Clostridia; Peptostreptococcales; Peptostreptococcaceae.
AAGUUCCUGGAAUAUGCGUUGAGAUAUAUUAAUUGAACCUACAUACUUUAAAUGGGAAUCUGAGUUUCUUAGAUGGAUGUCAAGCCUCCUUGAGUGGAAGACAGAUACUAGAAUAAGACAACCACCUUAUCAAACGAUAGGGAGUCAAUUAAUUGUUUUGACGGUAUUUCGGGAUUUUU